GCUUGUGUGUGGAUGGUGUUCAGUACUAAGGACAGAUAUGUUUACCUGUGUGUGGACAGUAUUAAGCACUAAGAACAGAUGUGUUUACCU
This 90-nucleotide microRNA precursor is filed under the name Branchiostoma floridae (Florida lancelet). Its description in RNAcentral is "mir-2060 microRNA precursor family". It matches the Rfam family "mir-2060 microRNA precursor family". Lineage: Eukaryota; Metazoa; Chordata; Leptocardii; Amphioxiformes; Branchiostomatidae. The record is from Rfam by way of RNAcentral.